RNAcentral lists this ribosomal RNA (541 nucleotides) under Streptomyces anthocyanicus. RNAcentral's name for it is "bacterial SSU rRNA". It matches the Rfam family "Bacterial small subunit ribosomal RNA", at positions 67 to 624 of the family's 1533-position model. The record is from RNAcentral. Lineage: Bacteria; Bacillati; Actinomycetota; Actinomycetes; Kitasatosporales; Streptomycetaceae.
CGAUGAACCACUUCGGUGGGGAUUAGUGGCGAACGGGUGAGUAACACGUGGGCAAUCUGCCCUUCACUCUGGGACAAGCCCUGGAAACGGGGUCUAAUACCGGAUACUGACCCUCGCAGGCAUCUGCGAGGUUCGAAAGCUCCGGCGGUGAAGGAUGAGCCCGCGGCCUAUCAGCUUGUUGGUGAGGUAAUGGCUCACCAAGGCGACGACGGGUAGCCGGCCUGAGAGGGCGACCGGCCACACUGGGACUGAGACACGGCCCAGACUCCUACGGGAGGCAGCAGUGGGGAAUAUUGCACAAUGGGCGAAAGCCUGAUGCAGCGACGCCGCGUGAGGGAUGACGGCCUUCGGGUUGUAAACCUCUUUCAGCAGGGAAGAAGCGAAAGUGACGGUACCUGCAGAAGAAGCGCCGGCUAACUACGUGCCAGCAGCCGCGGUAAUACGUAGGGCGCAAGCGUUGUCCGGAAUUAUUGGGCGUAAAGAGCUCGUAGGCGGCUUGUCACGUCGGUUGUGAAAGCCCGGGGCUUAACCCCGGGUCUGC